GACGAACGCUGGCGGCGUGCUUAACACAUGCAAGUCGAACGGAAAGGCCCUGCUUGCAGGGUACUCGAGUGGCGAACGGGUGAGUAACACGUGGGUGAUCUGCCCUGCACUUCGGGAUAAGCCUGGGAAACUGGGUCUAAUACCGGAUAGGAGCCAUUUUUAGUGUGAUGGUUGGAAAGUUUUUUCGGUGUAGGAUGAGCUCGCGGCCUAUCAGCUUGUUGGUGGGGUAAUGGCCUACCAAGGCGGCGACGGGUAGCCGGCCUGAGAGGGUGGACGGCCACAUUGGGACUGAGAUACGGCCCAGACUGCUACGGGAGGCAGAAGUGGGGAAUAUUGAACAAUGGGCGCAAGCCUGAUGCAGCGACGCCGCGUGGGGGAUGACGGUCUUCGGGUUGUAAACUCAUUUCGCUAGGGACGAAGCUUUUUGUGACGGUACCUAGAUAAGAAGCACCGGCUAACUACGUG
This 465-nucleotide ribosomal RNA is filed under the name uncultured bacterium. Its description in RNAcentral is "partial 16S ribosomal RNA". It matches the Rfam family "Bacterial small subunit ribosomal RNA", at positions 28 to 507 of the family's 1533-position model. The record is from RNAcentral.